RNAcentral lists this long non-coding RNA (2174 nucleotides) under Heterocephalus glaber (naked mole-rat). RNAcentral's name for it is "lncRNA (ENSHGLG00000038833.1)". Lineage: Eukaryota; Metazoa; Chordata; Mammalia; Rodentia; Bathyergidae. The record is from RNAcentral.
GUAUCCUACAUCUUUAAUUGUGUUACCGUUUCCAGGGAUUUUGUUUUCUACCUUUAAUUCUCCCCUUUUAAGAAAUGCUUGGGGGCCGGGGAUGUAGCUCAGUGGCUCCGGCGCCUGCCUCGAAAGCGCAAGGUCCCGAGUUCGAUCCCCGUUGCCAAAAAGAGAAAUGCUUGGUAGGGCAUGCUUGGUAUGCAGUCCGGCUUGGCCUCAAAUUUGGAAUCCUGCCUCAGCCUCCCAACUACCUGGGGAAAAAAGGAUGCUAAACACGCACUUUUGCUAUUGAAGCAGUAAAUGAAUUGACGGAGAACAAGGCUUUUUUGUCUCGUUGAAAGUUGCUGUUAGGGAAGUUUUAAAUGUACUCUUCCCUCUGAAGGGGUGAUGAUUUUGGACUAUGAAGUACGUUGGCAGUAGCCAACGGAAGGAGCGUCUGUCUGUACGAACGCGGUCACAUGCCCGAGGCGUGGAGGCAUGUUAGUCGGGAAGAGCAGGGUGGCUGACUUAGAGAGCUUGCAGGGGUGAGGGGGUCACUGGCUGCCGUGGGUGUUUGCUUGAGCGAUAGUGGACAUUGAAACCGAGGCAACAGCGCAAAUUUACAGGCAGAAUCUCUAAUUGGAAAGCAAGAGAAAAUGGUGAAGGGAUUUCAGUUUGAGCAGAAGAAAAGCCGAAAAGAAUGCAGCCCUGAUGCAGAAGAUUGGGCUGGGCUGCUAACAAACGGAAGAGGCCAGUUCUUACGGGGUUGCUGAGGUGGACUAGGGUCUGGCUGAUCAGCUUCAGGAAAGGCCUCCUGGCUUGGGAAGCAAUCUAGUUCCCCUGAGAUGACUGCUGCUGUUUGGGGGCCAUCGCAGUUUUAGAGGCUCUGUUGGAGUGUGAGGUCUACAGAUCAUCUGUGCUAGGCAGUAGGUUGCUGAGAGACUGAAGAAAACACCUGAAGAUGGCACCCCAGUGGUGGGAAGGCUGAAGACCAGAAGAUGAGCAAGCCAUUCACAGAAAACUGGUGAUCCUGGGCAUAUUGCUAUUGCUUCAGGAUCUGGAAGAGUCUUCCCCAGCUCUGCUCUGACCCAGAGGAUGGGCAGCACAUACCCAGAAGCACUACCAACACAACCUUAGCAUGCCAGAGUCAGGCUUCUUCACAGAAGACCUUGAGCAUUGUUGUUCUCUGAAUGCAGGCAGCACAGGCCUACAGACACAGGGCUGCUGUCAACAGAAGGGUUGGUGGCACAUUCAAAGAACUCUGAGGAAUUCCCAGAAAUACAUACAGGAUAUCUUGGGAGCUGCAGAGUGACUCCUUGGUAGAACAGGAACAGCUUAAAGAAUUUUAGAGAUGUUGUUAAUAAGGUGUGGAAUUUAUAUGGAGAUCAAUACCUGGAGCUGUCAAAAUUGGAAUACCCAGCAGACAAAAAGUGAAACUUGGUGUCUGCUGUAUUGCACAUGAAAAAAUGAAUUCCAAAUGGAUCGCAGGCCUCAAUCUAAUACUGGAGAAUUUCUACAAACCAACUUAGACUACCUGCACAACUUUGGGGUCGAUAACUCCUUAGGACACAAGUAGCACUAAUGGGUAGGAGAAGAAAUUUGACUUCAUCAGAACUUGAAAACAUCUGCUUUUAAAAAGACAUCUUUAGGAAAAUGAAAGUACAGUCUACAGACUGGAAAAAACCAUUUUCAAUACAUCCAUAUGCACUGAACUUGUGUCUAGAAUAUGUAAAGAAUCCUUAUCACUCAAUAAUAAACUGAAACAGUUUGCAAAUGGGCAAAAGACAAAAAAAGAAUACUUUGGAAAGAAGAUAUCCAAAAAUCCAAUUGAAAAUGCACAAGGAAAUCAAAGCCACAAUUAGAUUCUACCACACUCUGACUAGAAUGACUGAAAUUUAAAAAGACUAGCAAUAUUAUGUUAUUAAUAAAAUUAAAUGUUAAUAAAAUUAGAUAUUGUAGCAUUUCUAGUAAACAUGUACUAAAAGCCCUAUACCAUGAGAAAAAGAAAUAAAUGGCAUGAGAGUUGGAAAGGAAAUAAGAACUGUCUAUAUCUGUAGGUUAUAUGAUUGUGUACACAGAAAAUAAAAAUUAUGUAAAGAUAAACUGUUUGAACUGACAACAGCUUAGCAAGUUUUCUGCUUACAGUGCUUAGUAUUGUGUAUAGGAAGAGACAGAAAGGGCAAUUUAAAAACAGAACAUUGAAC